UUUAAAACACAAAUUUACUUUCCACACUAGGGGGCGACCGAGAAUGGAUGCAAACGUGACUGUUGGUGAAUAGACCCGGAUUCAACGUAUGAGAUUAUUAUGGGUUUCUGAUCCCGUUAAAUAUACCAAUUGUUAUCGACUAUAAGUUAUAUGUAAGGUAUUUUGUUUCAAUUUUCUUCAAGUGUAUUUCAAAAAUGACAACACCUUAGUAAACUAGUCUACAAAUAUGAUGUAUUGAAGAAAAUUAUACAGAAAACUACCCAAUUAUAACAAGUAGAGAAUACGAAAAAUACAAAGACUUUCUAAUUAGGUAUUAUAUAAGCUGUGCAUAUAGGAUGUACUAAUUACUCGUGAUCUUGGCUUUAUUAUAAAUUAUUGUAUAUUGGACAUAUUUCAUAAAUAUGGACGGUGUGUUAUGCUAUAUGCUAUUCAACCUACUAAAUGACUUUUGCUUACGUAGACAUUAAAAUCACAAUUGUAUAGGUAUUGGGUAUCGGGAGUCUAGGUUCAAUACAUAAGCAUCCAUCAACAUGUUCUAGUUGUAAGUCCCCAAUGUCUGUAAACUCGAUGGAACAUCAAAUAGUGCAAUCAGCGGCCAACUGUCACACGAUCCCUAAUGCCAGGCACUUAUAUCUCAAACACUCUAGUCAUCAAGAUGUAUGACGUUGGCCGCUGAUUUCAAGUAUUACGAUUUUCCAUCCUAUCCCGCUCUUCGACCAAAGUGCUGCUUUGUGAUUUGUUAUCAGUGUUUUCAGCACUUUACUCGAAUAUCACUGCAUAAUGGUUCUGAUAAUUUUAGAAAUACAUGCUUCUUGUAUCUUCUUACGGGAUAUUUUUUGGAAUAAAUACUUAUAGCUAUUUUCGUUUAACAUGUUCACAAUUG
This 883-nucleotide long non-coding RNA is filed under the name Mytilus galloprovincialis (Mediterranean mussel). The record is from RNAcentral. Lineage: Eukaryota; Metazoa; Mollusca; Bivalvia; Mytilida; Mytilidae.